Long non-coding RNA from Sarcophilus harrisii (Tasmanian devil), 1075 nucleotides. RefSeq lists it as uncharacterized. NCBI's taxonomy places the organism in Eukaryota, Metazoa, Chordata, Mammalia, Dasyuromorphia, Dasyuridae. The record is from RefSeq and is a predicted model, not a curated record. The transcript is spliced from 3 exons.
CCCUCCCCCCCUGCCCAACGGUCACCGAACUUCCCCUCCCCCCUCCCUCAGCUUGAAGGGCUGCGGUGCGGGGUGUGAGACCAGGCGGGAGAGGCUGGCAUGGGGGGAAGGGGAGAGGAGCCGGGGCCGUGUCCAGAGAGGGGGGAUCGGCCAGGCUGCGGGAUGAGGCUCAGGGUGGUGGGAGAGGGAAGGGACUCAUGGGGGAUGGCAAUGAGAGAGGGCCCCGCCCCCACCCCUCACCCCAGGUGGACCAGGGGCAGCCCAAAAGGGCAGGGAGAGAAGGGUCCCACACAGUGCCCAGGACAUGGAAAGGAGGGUCUUGGGAGGCGAGGCGCAGGGAAAGGGGCUGUGACGGAGCACCCCAGGGGAGGCUGGUGAGCCUCAGGGCAGAUCGAGGCAGGAACUGGGUGUCAGUAGGGGCCGACUGCAACUUGCCUUCUUCACUGGCCCCACCCACCCCCGGGGCUGGGGCGCUCAGGCUUUCCCCAGCCCUGCCACUGUUCCAGCUUGCAUCGAUGACAUGACUUUGCAGGGCUCACCAGGGCUGUGAGGGAAGUGGCUGAGAGCUCACAGGGACACCCUCUGCCCCAGAAAGCGAGCCCACAGCUGUGGGGGUAGCUGCUGCAACUGCUGCUGCUGCUGCCGCCGCCGCCGCUGCUGCCGAUGCUGCUGCUGCCAUAGGACAGACCUCACCUGUACCUGCAGCAAAAGCGGUUGCAUCCUCGGUUUCUCAAGACUGAGGGAAACCAGUUUCCACUUUCCCAUGAAGUUUGUUCUACUUGGCUACUUCUUUUCCAGAGGCAACUGCAUCCCACCCACCUUUUCUUCACUAAGACUUAGAAGAUGGGAGCACCAUUUCUCAGCACUAAGCCAUGUUUUCUCCCUUACAACAUAAAUGUAGUUCUGCAAACUUUAGAUCUUUUAAUAAUCUAUUGUGUCUCUCCCUAGAUGCAACUGUAUUCUUUUUAUCAAAGGGGAAACUAACUAAUCCUUUGAACUGUAUGUUUCCCUUCUACCAUUUCCUUCUACCUAGUCUUGCUGAUCUAUAUUUUUAUUAUGGAAUUCAACAUUGUAA